This 36-nucleotide non-coding RNA is filed under the name Lessardia elongata. The record is from RNAcentral. Lineage: Eukaryota; Dinophyceae; Peridiniales; Podolampadaceae.
UCCACAUAAUGAAAAAAAAAAAAAAAAAAAAAAAAA